RNAcentral lists this ribosomal RNA (392 nucleotides) under uncultured bacterium. RNAcentral's name for it is "partial 16S ribosomal RNA". It matches the Rfam family "Bacterial small subunit ribosomal RNA", at positions 523 to 918 of the family's 1533-position model. The record is from RNAcentral.
AUACGGAGGAUCCGAGCGUUAUCCGGAUUUAUUGGGUUUAAAGGGUGCGCAGGCGGCCAUUUAAGUCAGCGGUUAAAUCGUGGGGCUCAACCCCAUUCUGCCGUUGAUACUGGGUGGCUUGAUUGCGGUCGAGGUUGGCGGAAUUCGUUGUGUAGCGGUGAAAUGCAUAGAUAUGACGAAGAACACCGAUUGCGUAGGCAGCUGACCAGACCGCAAAUGACGCUCAUGCACGAAAGUGCGGGGAUCGAACAGGAUUAGAUACUGUGGUAGUCCGCACAGUAAACGGUGAAUACUUGUUUUCGGCUAUAUAAUGUCGGAGGCACAGCGAAAGCGAUAAGUCUUCCACCUGGGGAGUACGCCGGCAACGGUGAAACUUAAAGGAAUUGACGGUG